UGCACUGUAUGGCAUGUGUGCCCAGCAGUGUUUUCCUGAUGAUGUGUUCAAAAAGCAGCACUGCAGUGUUUCAGCUGCUGGCAUCGUGGUUUUAAUGUGGACAUGCUGAUUGAACUUGGUGUUUCUGUUGAAACGAGUA
RNAcentral lists this small nucleolar RNA (139 nucleotides) under Cairina moschata (Muscovy duck). RNAcentral's name for it is "domestica (muscovy Duck (domestic type)) Small nucleolar RNA SNORA8 (ENSCMMG00000008484.1)". It matches the Rfam family "Small nucleolar RNA SNORA8". From Rfam's summary of the family: ACA8 is a member of the H/ACA class of snoRNA that guide the sites of modification of uridines to pseudouridines. Lineage: Eukaryota; Metazoa; Chordata; Aves; Anseriformes; Anatidae. The record is from RNAcentral.